GAUGAACGCUGGCGGCGUGCCUAAUACAUGCAAGUCGAGCGAACGGACGAGAAGCUUGCUUCUCUGAUGUUAGCGGCGGACGGGCGAGUAACACGUGGUUAACCUACCUAUAAGACUGGGAUAACUUCGGGAAACCGGAGCUAAUACCGGAUAAUAUUUUGAACCGCAUGGUUCAAAAGUGAAAGACGGUCUUGCUUUCACUUAUAGAUUGAUCCGCGCUGCAUUAGUUAGUUGGUAAGGUAACGGCUUACCAAGGCAACGAUGCAUAGCCGACCUGAGAGGGUGAUCGGCCACACGGGAACUGAGACACGGUCCAGACUCCGACGGGAGGCAGCAGUAGAGAAUCUUCCGCAAGGGGCGAAAGCCUGACGGAGCAACGCCGCGUGAGUGAUGAAGGUCUUCGGAUCGUAAAACUCUGUUAUUAGGGAAGAACAUAUGUGUAAGUAACUGUGCACAUCUUGACGGUACCUAAUCAGAAAGCCACGGCUAACUACGUG
RNAcentral lists this ribosomal RNA (497 nucleotides) under uncultured bacterium. RNAcentral's name for it is "partial 16S ribosomal RNA". It matches the Rfam family "Bacterial small subunit ribosomal RNA", at positions 28 to 507 of the family's 1533-position model. The record is from RNAcentral.